GCCCUGGUGGCUCAAUGGUUAAGCAUUUGGCUGCUAAACAAACGAUUGGCAGUUUGAACCCUCCCAGUGUC
RNAcentral lists this transfer RNA (71 nucleotides) under Loxodonta africana (African savanna elephant). It matches the Rfam family "tRNA". From Rfam's summary of the family: Transfer RNA (tRNA) molecules are approximately 80 nucleotides in length. Their secondary structure includes four short double-helical elements and three loops (D, anti-codon, and T loops). The record is from Rfam by way of RNAcentral. Lineage: Eukaryota; Metazoa; Chordata; Mammalia; Proboscidea; Elephantidae.